CUGGAGCCCACGUUUUGUAGCUAAGCAGGCUGCUGCUCUUGACUGAGUCCCUGGUGAGUUCACUGCCUUGACGAGUAGGUGGCCAUGAUGAGCUUUGCUUGCUUACUUUUGGCAGGAGAAUAAAGGCAGGGCCGGGUGCCUGAGAGAGGCAGGAGCAUGAAUUCUGUCUUGGAAGGUUUGUUCUUCAAGAGGCAAAAUUCAGUUUUUCACGUAUUGCAUGGAGCCGAGCACGUGACUGUCAUACUUCAGACUUAAAUUUAGUGAGGAAUGGGGAAUGUGGAGAUGUUAACUUUGAAGUAAGUGAUCACUAGCAAUUCAGUUUAAAUUAGGUGGAAGGAUGUACGUAAACACUGAAGUAAUUUCAGAAGGGAAGAAUUAGGGAAACGGAUUAAUUAAAGAUCAAUCGAGUUAACUGGACUGAAAAAUUGUGAGGAAAAAGUGCUCUGGAACCUCAAUUUAAAGGAAUUCCAUGGUACAGUAUGAAAUUUGCAACUAAGGACCUAAUUACAGGGCUUCAGGAUACAGUUGCUACGGAGAUAACUUCGGGCCAAAAUUAAGGCAUGCAACCCGUAUACAACCAUAUUCUUUGCAUGCCCCGAAACUAUAAUUAAGCUAACGCAAAUCUGGUGGGAGAACAAAUGUGUGUAAUCUUGCUCUGAAUGAAUUUAGGUUGAGAACUAACCAUUGAGAUUCUGGCACAGCUCUCCAAAACAAGCCAUGGGGGACAGAAGACCCAGUGGGAAUGAAGGUGGAGCCCACCGUGUUUAGAUGUGCUACCUAAAAGACGUGAGACAUCUCCAUGGACACGUCAUUGUGACAGUGAAGGUGCUCCAAAGAGACACUGUGACUCUGCUUCUCUCAGCCACUGUCAAAAGCUGUGUGCAGAUCUGAAAGUGCGACAGGGAUCAAUGGGAAUCCAAUGUGGACAAAAAGGCUGAUUUUUUGUAGUUUGCUGUGCUUCUAGAGGGGACCAUCCAUCCUAGUGGGUUUCCGUCUGACAAUACCCUGGACCCUUCUCAUUGUUUUCAGCAACAAAGGAAAACCUGCCGAGUUGCCAUGCAUAUCCAAAGGUUGGUCAGAGUCAAAAUUAUUUAUUUAGAAUACGUAGGGCACGGCGUGCUUUGAGCAGCCUGCUAGGAGCUUUCAUUUUUUUUCUGUCAGCUCCUUUUGGCU
Molecule: long non-coding RNA, 1173 nt
Filed under: Anas platyrhynchos platyrhynchos (common mallard)
Lineage: Eukaryota; Metazoa; Chordata; Aves; Anseriformes; Anatidae
Description: lncRNA (ENSAPLG00000022162.1)
Source: RNAcentral